Molecule: ribosomal RNA, 152 nt
Filed under: Staphylococcus haemolyticus
Lineage: Bacteria; Bacillati; Bacillota; Bacilli; Caryophanales; Staphylococcaceae
Description: partial 16S ribosomal RNA
Rfam family: Bacterial small subunit ribosomal RNA
Source: RNAcentral
UUUAUGGAGAGUUUGAUCCUGGCUCAGGAUGAACGCUGGCGGCGUGCCUAAUACAUGCAAGUCGAGCGAACAGAUAAGGAGCUUGCUCCUUUGACGUUAGCGGCGGACGGGUGAGUAACACGUGGGUAACCUACCUAUAAGACUGGGAUAAC